This is a long non-coding RNA of Sitodiplosis mosellana (orange wheat blossom midge), 2574 nucleotides long. RefSeq lists it as uncharacterized. Lineage: Eukaryota; Metazoa; Arthropoda; Insecta; Diptera; Cecidomyiidae. The transcript has 2 exons. The record is from RefSeq and is a predicted model, not a curated record.
UCACGUGACAUAACAGCCAGGCGGGUGCGCAGCGUGUUCGUUCGCGUACACAGCCUGUAUUCUGGUGGCACAGAAAGAAAUAUUUACAUGUUUCAGCUCAUUGAAUCCAUUGGUCGAUUCGUGCGUAUUUUACCUAGGGUUGGCAAUGGCAAGAGAGAACAUAUAGCAACAACAACAACAUCAGCAUCAGCAGAAACGACGACGACGACGGCAGUGGCGUCAGAGGCGGCAACAGCAGCAGCCUCAGUGAUCAAGGCAAAGAAAUUACAAGUAAUGACACAAAAAUAGCGCGAGAGAAUAAGUAAAGAGAUUCGCCGAUUUCAACAAUUGCGUCGUUUACUUAUUGAAAAUUGGCGCCUUUUUUUAUAUAGGUGCGGAGAGUGAGAUCAAGUCACCAGAGUCAAUAUGUGUGUUGAUCGAUCGAUUUAAAUGGACGUUUUUUUUUAAAUGGCAGACAGUGGCCUUUAUUACGGCCACAUUCAGAAUAAUUGCUUGACGCGCGAAUAUGAUCGCCUCCUCUCGGCGACGAGUGAUUUAUGAGCUAGUGAAUUAUGAAUAUCCGCAUGCAGUGUGCCAGCAAUUUCCGUUUGUAAAAUCAACAAAACGACAAGCGAGAUAGGGAGACGAAUAUGAAGAAGUGGAUAGAAGAAAAAAAAUGACGACACUCGACACAUGGAAUAUUUAUGGCAUAAAAUUGAUUCUAAACACGCUCACGAAUUCCGUUGGAUGUUGCAUAAAUUAUUGAGCAGAAAAAAUGUUUUUGAUGCAACUGCUAAAUACAGAAACCGGUGCAAGAUCUUCUCUCGCCGCCACUAAAAAAAAACGAACGCUGAGAGAACGAUGCAAAAAAACCACUGCUAUUGCUGUUGCUGCUGCUGCUGCUGCUGCCGCCGGAGGUGGCACGAAACCAGAAGUGAACAAAAAAAACGUGCUUCAUUAAUCCAUUGAAUUUAUGCGACAAGUGACGUGUGUUUGAUUGCUCAUCAUCAUCUCAUCAUGAUGGCAACAAUGUCUGGCAACCGUCGAUCGAUUAUUAUUAACAUGUUUAUUCUUUUGCUUUGCGUUGCUCUGUGUAUUUUUCAUUUUGCGUGACGAUCGAUCGUUGUUAGGUUAGUUGGCCAAACUUGCACAUUCAUUACUUUCAUUCGGAUGCUUUCAUGGUUUGUCCACAUUUUGUGUGCUAACGUGCUGUGCUAUCUUCUGAUAUGCUAUGCGAAAAAUCAUUCCCAAUGGGUUUUUUUCUUGUUCACUUAAAAAGGUGACAGAGGUCGAUGCGUAAUCGUUAUUGAGCAUUGAAAACGCAAAACAAAAAACCAGCCGCUCAUAUAAAAACUCCUCAACUAAUCUCACCUACUUAUUCUUUAUAUGAGGUUAACAUACAGAUACAUCUCCUUCUCUUUCUGUCUCUCUCUCUCUCUCACUCACCGUGCCAGCCUCAAUAUUCUCGUGUGCUUUUUAUCGCAAUUUUCGAUCAUCACCGGGGUUUUCCAAUAUUUAAAUAUUUAAAUAUUUAAAAGCACAUCAUUGCCGUUGUCACUGUCAUUGUUCACGCCAACGAAAAAAAAAUCAACAAUACGACAUAAUAUUAUUCUUGUGAAAUUUGAUAUUGCUCGCUAUUAGCUUGAUGUUGAUUGACCACAAAAAUGGUGCGUAAUAAAAAUGUUUUGUUUGCAAGAGAUAAAGUAACAGACAAACGAGCGUUCAAAUACAUUCGCACGCACCAAAAAUACAAGAAGAAAGAAAUCAAAAAAGCUGAUAUACGAAAGAAGAAGAAGAAAAAGAAGGAUGAGGAAAAAAAUGGCAAAUCGGCGUCGUACAUUACACAUAUAUAUGUUCACAUCUAUUAUCGCUAGCCAUACAAUUGUGUUUAGUUGACGCUUCUUUCUUUUGGCUAUAAACCAUCAUCGCCUAGCUGUUUUGUGAUUAAGCGACAGCAACGACGACAACAACGAAGGCGAACAACCGUAUGCGAUCACAGCGUUUGCUGUCCAAAAAACUUGUGUAUAUACACAAUUUACCACAAAUACAAGCUUGAUCGACCCGUUUCGUCGAUGUUUACCGAUUAGUCUCAUGCAUAUCUUCUUCUCUGUGCGUGACUUUUGUGGUAUUGUGUCGAUGAUUUGCACAGCAAAACCUGCCCACAUUGGCCCAAUAGUCAAAAACAAAUGGCUCCCAUACACAUAUAGAAUAUUUGGCAUGCGUAUCUUUUCAAUUCCGUUCAAAACAUUUUUCGUCCAAAUCGGAGAAGCACUUGGCACGCUCGUUGGGUUUUUUUUUCUCUGUAUAAUUGUUGUUUUGAUUGUGCUGGUUUGACUGUGGAUUUUUCCGGUCUUUUGUGUUUUUUACAUUUUUGAUACUUUGUCAUUUCAUUAUAAAUAUCUUUAGAAGAAUUAUUCUUACUCAGUUGCUGUCAUUCCGCAUUGUCGUCUGACAUACCCACAUAUAAACGACGAACAUACGAAACGAAUUAUUUUUUUUCUUCGUUCAAAUCGAUAUUCCUGUACACAUCGAAAUUAUUGUGGAAAUAUAAACGCAUUAUUUUAAAUUGGUUAAACAAAAAAUAAAAAAUAAAAA